Molecule: ribosomal RNA, 503 nt
Filed under: uncultured bacterium
Lineage: Bacteria
Description: bacterial SSU rRNA
Rfam family: Bacterial small subunit ribosomal RNA
Source: RNAcentral
CAAACGCUGGCGGCGUGCCUAACACAUGCAAGUCGAACGAGAAAGUCGGUUUCGGCCGAUGAGUAAAGUGGCGCACGGGUGAGUAACGCGUGGAUAAUCUACCCUUUAGUCCGGAAUAACUUGCCGAAAGGUGAACUAAUACCGGAUGACAUCCCGGGUUCUCCGGAAACCGGGAUCAAAGAAGGCCUCUGCUUGCAAGCUUUUGCUGAAGGAUGAGUCCGCGUACCAUUAGCUAGUUGGUGGGGUAAUGGCCUACCAAGGUUAUGAUGGUUAGCUGGUCUGAGAGGAUGAUCAGCCACACUGGAACUGAAACACGGUCCAGACUCCUACGGGAGGCAGCAGUGAGGAAUAUUGCGCAAUGGGGGCAACCCUGACGCAGCAACGCCGCGUGAGUGAGGAAGGUUUUCGGAUUGUAAAGCUCUGUCGAGCGGAAAGAAAUGCACGAUGGCUAAUAUCCAUCAUGCUUGACGGUACCGCUAGAGGAAGCACCGGCUAACUCCGUG